GUGCUCAUUUAGGCAGCACAUACAGUAAAAUUGGAAGGAUGCAGUGAAGAUUACUAGGGCCCCUGCUCAAGGAUGACAUGCAAAUUCAUAAGAUGUUCCAUAUUCUU
Small nuclear RNA from Erinaceus europaeus (western European hedgehog), 107 nucleotides. NCBI's taxonomy places the organism in Eukaryota, Metazoa, Chordata, Mammalia, Eulipotyphla, Erinaceidae. The record is from Ensembl.